Molecule: unclassified non-coding RNA, 2813 nt
Filed under: Daphnia pulex (common water flea)
Lineage: Eukaryota; Metazoa; Arthropoda; Branchiopoda; Diplostraca; Daphniidae
Description: uncharacterized LOC124200394, transcript variant X1
Source: RNAcentral
AUUUUAGUCACGAAAAAAACAGUUGGCCAGAAACAUGUUGCGUUUAUUACUUGGGUUGCUGAUUUUAAUUGGCGCAGAGUGCCAUGAAACGGUACUAUCUCUUCAAGUGGCACGGGAAAUCCCAGAAGAACGUCUGGGGUCGGCGUGUCCAGUCGAAUUGGACUACAGUCCUCAGUGCAUCUGCGAUUUCUGGCCAUAUGAAACCUACAACGUCUACUGCAAUGCGUCAUCAGCCGAAGAAUUGAACGUCAUUACGCAGACCUUUCAGCGCACUCCCAUUGUCAAGCACACUGAGGUGAAAAUCAGCCUCACUGAAUCCAUGUCUAUUCCUGCCAAUUUUUUCAGCAAUAAGACGGCCGUUUCAAUCAUCUUCGAAUGCAUAGGCGAUUCAGGAAAGCUCGGUCUCAUCGACCCCCAGGCAUUCAUACUCACGGCCGCAACGACCACCGCGUUCGGGAUUAAUUUCUGCGACUUGACAGAAUUCGAUUUCGCUUUUCUGGCUCAGCUGAGGGUUUUGGCAUCGCUUCGGUUGUACAACACCACCAUGACCACCCUGGCGAAAAUGCCGUUCAUGCCCCACAUGCGAACGGUCGAAUUAUUCGGUCUGACUGGACUCCGCGAGUGGCACGAUCCAGCUCAAACUCCAUUCCUGGAUACGAUUACCAUCAACGCAGCUAUCGAUACGGAUCAGGAAACCAUGGAAAAGAUCUUGGAAACGCUGUUGUACUACGCCAACUCCCUGCGUGGCUUGUACCUACCCAAUUUAGGACUCACUAGAGUCCCUCCAGCUGUUAGAAAUCUAACAUACCUCAACACGCUGGAUUUAAGCGCUAACCUCAUCAGCUCACUGCCUACCGGAUCGUUGGCUUUGUCAUCCACUUUAGAUUCCCUAUGGCUGGGUAACAUGCUAAUUCAAAGUGUUGAACCGGGAGCUUUUCAAGGCAACUUCCGGCCAACUUUGGUCUACAUGGUUUUCAACCGGCUAAUUAGCUUUCCACGUGAAACAUAUGAAGACAUAUUAGAAGAAAUGAUUUACUCUUCCGGCUCUUUUAACAUUUACGGAAAUCCCAUAACAUGCAAUGACUGCCACCUGGAUUGGCUCAUCAACGAAAAAAGAUACCUGCUAGCAAGAGUGACGGACGGGAUGUGCACUAAUGGCACUAGCUUCGACCAGUUAGACGCGCAAGUUUACAAAGCCCGUUGUGCAAAGGACAAUCAUGCGACAUCUAUUCAAACACCGUUUUUGCUGUUGAUUUCGAUGCUUACUUUCUACAGACUAUUGCUUUAAAAACGUCAAAGGAAACUAAAUAAACAAGGUCCUUGGGUAUACGCCUUCGGGUUAUUGUGGCUAUUGGGAUAACUAUGUAUUCGUUUUUUGUCAUCCCCCCCCCCCAAGAUGGCAGUACAAUAGCUGGAAAUAAUGGCAAAUGUUGAGGUGAAAGAGGUGGCAGUAAAAUCGGGGCAAUAUAUAAACCAUAAUCGUUCAUUUUGUAAUGAUGGGUGUGGUCGCUAGGGGAACCAUAUGUAUAGGGUAGUGAGGGAAUGGUCCGUCGCCCAAAAAAUUUAGGUCGUCUUUGGCGACUUCAUUGAAUGUUCCUGUGUCCAGCAAUAACCAAAUUUCCCAUACAGCGAUUAAAGAUCUGUCUUUAGAGACACAAUCGUAAGCACAACCGUGAUGUAUUUUCUAUGUAUAUUUUUAAAUAAUCAUUUGCGAUUUAACGUAACCGUAUGUCUGCGCUACAAAGGUCUAAAAAUGUUUAGUGGAUGUCAUGUGAUUUCUUAUCGGCUUCCCAUUGGUUUAAACGUUGUGUGAACGGUUUCCCAUUGGUUCGGUAGUUUAGUCAUGUUUAGGGAACAGUUGGCGUUCACACUUUGCGCUUUUCGGCAUUAUUUUCUUUAUCAGCUGAAUCUGCGUGAAAAACUACAGGGAAAGAUGUAGUUUACAUCGUGAUUAGUUUAACAUUUAAAUUAGAUAUUUGUAAUUUCAGAAACGCCACAGUCCUUAAAAUAAAUUAAAACUUUGAGAGUAAUGAAAAGGUUUGUAUCAAUAUCUUUCAACCAUAUCAUGUGAGAAACAUAACAGCCAAAACGGCACUUCCAAUCGCCGAAAUACCAGCUAGACAUUUUAACUCCAUAGAUUGAGGCAAAUCUAAUAUCAAGCUGCUAUGAGCCAGCAAACAAUAGAGAGCAAGUCAACCACAUCAGGGAUAAUCAAAUCAUCUUUGGCGUACUGUGGUAACAUAGAGAAAUGGGAAAUGGAGAGAAACCAGAAGGCAGUGAAUGAGAAAUAAGGACUAGCUAUGGAAGCAGGCAACGUUACUAAAAGGAUUGAUUUCUCAAGGACGUGAUAGGAGAAUAGGAAAAAUGCAAGAGACACGUUGAUCAAAGAGAUAUGCAAAUUACGCGAACUGUUCUUAAAAUAUAGAUGAAGUCCACAAGGGAAACUGAAAAGAGCUGUUAGCAGUAAACAAUAUCUAGCGAUAGCGGUGGGUUCCAUUAUUCGUCGGAUUUUGACCAAAACAUUUAAUGUGCACCAGAAGUUGGCAACAUAAUCUUCAAAAAUUCCGCGGUUGAAAGGAAAGACUCUGGAGAGAACUUGUUGCAAAAGCCCAUUAUGAAAUUGUAAAAAUAGAUACCAAAUAAUGGUAAAAGUGGCCAAUGUUACAAUCCCAAUACUUAUCAAAUUUCAAAGUUGAUAUUAAGGAGGAACCCCUACGGUGACAAGAAGCCAGCAAAUAGAAGAACAUGGGUAUAGCGUGAUAAAGCUCCAUUUGCUUAAAGUUUAGUUCUGCUGAAAAAACAACUUGAAUGAG